UACCAGCUCUCCGAGUGGUGGGGAUGCUUAUUGGGCCUAAAGCAUUCGUAGCCGGCUGGGCAAGUCCUCCGUUAAAUCCAGCGAUUCAAUCGUUGGACUGCAGGGGAUACUGUCCGGCUAGUGGGCGGAAGAGGCCGACGGUAUUCUCGGGGUAGGGGUGAAAUCCUAUAAUCCCGGGAGGACCACCAGUGGCGAAGGCUGUCGGCUAGAACGCGCCCGACGGUGAGGGAUGAAAGCUGGGGGAGCGAACCGGAUUAGAUACCCGGGUAGUCCCAGCUGUAAACUAUGCAGGCUAGGUGUUGGCGCGGCUACGUGCCGCUCCAGUGCCGCAAGGAAGCCGUUAAGCCUGCCGCCUGGGAAGUACGGCCGCAAGGCUGAAACUUAAAGGAAUUGGCGGGGAGCACCACAAGGGGUGAAGCUUGCGGUUU
Molecule: ribosomal RNA, 428 nt
Filed under: uncultured archaeon
Lineage: Archaea
Description: bacterial SSU rRNA
Rfam family: Archaeal small subunit ribosomal RNA
Source: RNAcentral